Molecule: long non-coding RNA, 5909 nt
Organism: Schistocerca cancellata (South American locust)
Lineage: Eukaryota; Metazoa; Arthropoda; Insecta; Orthoptera; Acrididae
Exons: 2
Source: RefSeq, a predicted model, not a curated record
UAUCCAUCCACACACAUACAGACACAAGCAGACAUAUUCAAAGGCCUUGUUUUAUUUUUGUUGAUGCACAUCUUAUAAUCUCUUUUCAACACACUAUCAGUUCCUUUCAACUGAUCAUCUAGGACCUUUGCCAUCUCACAGAAUUAUGGUGUCAUUGGCAAGCCUGAAAACUCUCGUUGCUUUUUCCUGAACAUUAGGUCCCUCUCUAAAUUGUAACAUGGGAUAUGGGCUACAACAUUGUCUCACUCCCUUCUCUAUUUCUGCUUCCUUUUCAAUCCCUUUGACUCUUAUAGCGUAGUGUAGAUGAAUUAUAAAAUCUGUUGCAUGUUGUAUUUUAUCCCUACUACCUUAAAAUUGCAAAUAGUGUAUUCCUGUCAAAACUGUCAAAAGUUUUCUCUAAAUGUACAAAUGCUGUAAAAAUAGAUUUGCCUUUGUUCAGUCUGUCAUCUAAGACAACUUGUAGGGUCAUGGUUGCCUCACAUGCCUCUCUGGAACCCAAAUUAAUUGGUGUCCACCAGUUUUCCCUUUCUUCUACAGAUGAUUUAUAUCAGUAUUUUGCUACCAUGACGUAUUAAACUAAUGGUUCAGCAAUAUUUACAUUUGUCAGCAAAUGUUCUUUGAAACUGGAACUAUUGCAUUAUUCUUAAAGCCUACUGGUAUUUGCCACUAUCAUAAAUCUUGAAUAUCAGGUAGAACACUUGGCCAUGAAAUGUUCUCUUAAAGAUCUCCAUCAUUUUGAGGGAAUUUAAUUUACUUUUUCCUGCUUCAUUUGCUACAUUUUUAUAUUUUCUCCUUUCAUUAAUUAAAUUCAAUGUCUCGUAUGUAUUUCAAGGAUUUCUGCUGGAUCUUUCUCUUUGCCUAUUAGAUCUAUGCUGGCUUCACUAUUUCAUCUCUCAAAUCUGACCCAUCUCCUUAAUUUCAUUCCUUUCUGUGAUUUCAUCACUUUUAAUCUGCAUGGUUAGAAUCCACGUCAGCCCCUUUAAUGUAUUACAGUUCGAAAUCUGUUUUUAAAAUCUUUGUCUGACCAUCUUACAAUCCAUAUGAAACCUUUGAGAACCUUCAGGUUUCUUCCAUAUAUAGAACCAUUUUUCACGAUUCUCAAACUAAUUUUUACUCCACCAGGUGGGUUCUUUCAUUCUUUUCAUCCAGUUGCCCUAUUUUUUUCUUUUCUUCCUUUUCCUCUUAUGAAGUUCCUGACAUCUGCCACAAUUAAAUUUUUGUCUUCCUUAAUGUUUUGAAUUGCAAAGGAAAGUGUGAUACAGAGAUAAGACUACAAAUCAUUCUUGGCCGAGUCGCAAUGGUCAAACUCACUAAGAUAUGGCAGAAUCGGGCAAUAUCCAAGACAACGAAGAUGCACUUGGUAGAAGCAUUGGUGUUUCCUGUAUUCUUAUUCUGAUGUGAGACCUGGACUGUGAAAGGUAGUGAUAAAAGCCGCAUUGAUGCCUUCAAGAUAUGGUGUUGGUGGAGGAUGCUACGUGUACUGUGGCCACAAAAAAAGAACAAAUGUUUCAAAAACAGAACAACUUAAAAUCACAAGGUUAUCUUCUCAUGUCAGCCAAAAGUACCUUCAGUUCCUUGGGCACAUCUUGGGAAGUAAAGGGGAUAAUUUAGAGAAGAUCAUCGUGCAGGGAAAAAUUGAGGGCAGAAGACCACGUGGGAGAGCAGCAAACAGAUGGUUGGAUCAAGCGAAGAAGAUUAUCAGCCUGCUGCUUCAUGUCAUGUUAAGAAUGGCCGAAGAUUGCUGUGGAUAGAGACAUCUGUCUGAAAUUUCAACUACGUAAGAAUGAAUGAGGAAAUGAGGUCACAGCACUAACCAAUUUGUAAAACGACUAAUAAUGAAUGUUUUGAAUAAUUUUUUUAUCUCUUCAUAUAAAUAUUCUAACUCAUCAUAGGCAUAGAAACUAUGACUACUGCUAUGGCCAUUGAUUUAGUAUCCAUCUUGGCUAUGAUAACCCAAUUACAAUAUCAAACAAUCCAUGCUGUAAUCGGUAGAACACCCAGAUAUAUUUUUUCUAACAACAAGAUUCUCCUGAGUAGCUGUCGCCCAGAGAUCCACACGGGGAACAGUUUUAUGUCCAGAAUGAUGCCAUCAUCAAUUAAACUGUAUAACAGAUCUGCAGGUCCCGUUGCUUUCAGCUGUUUGCAGGACCAACUUGUAAGACUUAGUUGUUAAUGUUACAAGGACACAUCAAUCAGAUUGUUCCUGCUGCAAUGCCUGAAAAACCUGCUGCCUUUAUUUUGAUGCUAUGAAUUAGUCUUGUCUCUCCACAGAUAUAUCUUGAAUGUGGUUGUGCCUAUGAUACAGCUAUCUGCAUCCUUAAGUCAUGCAGGCCACCCACAAUGGCAAGUGCAUGGUUCAUGGGACAGUCAUCCCUGUACAUGUUGUUGUCCAUUAAAACAACAACAUCAGGAAAGACAGCAAAUAACAAAAUUUUACUUAGUGUGCAUACACAGUAUAAAAAGAAUAAUACACAAUUAAAUUUGUAAGUGAUUAGGGUUUUACAGGGUGUGAAAUUUAGCCAACAGUUUCCACCUCUGGCUGCCACAACAGCUCUGACUUGGCUGAGCUUGGGUUACAGAUUACAGGUAAGUCUUUCCAUUCUGCAUCAACUGUACACCAGAGUUCACCAGUUGUAGUGGCUGGCAAGGGGUGGCAUGCUAAUCUCUCAGCAACUCAUAACCAGAUGUUUUCUGUUGUAUCCAUAGUGAGAUAGCUAGUAAACAGAAAUAGACAUCUUGAAAAAGGUAACACAAUGGUAAGUUUGUUUACAUUAUGUUCAAGUAAUGAUUGAGUUGUACAUAACUUUGAAUGCUAUAGUUCUUCUAUGGUUUAGAGUUAUAUACAAUGAGAACAGUGUUCUUGAUAGCAUCAAAAUGGCCUUGAAUGCUGAUUCACAUAUACAUGUCUGAAUAUUAAUAAUCCUUAAUAGCAUUGUGCUACUUCGAUGUAAUGAUCCUCACUGCAGUUUUCUGCACUAAUCUCCCUAAGUCUUUGCAAGAAUUGUUAAAAUUCCAUCUUUUGCAUAGCUAUGAGUGGCACUUGAGGUUGGUAGAGAUGCUGAUGAUACCGGAUUCUCGUUGGGUGAGAGAUCUGAAUGUGCUGGAUCAAGGCAAUUCCUUGUAUCAGGGUGGGAACAGUACAGGCAACAUAUGGUCUUGCAAUAUCUUGUAGAAAGAUAAUGUCACAGAAACCUCAAAAGAAUGGCGAAGCCACCUGACUUACAAUAUCAGUAACGUAAUGGCUGAUGUCCAGUUUACCAGAUAUGAGAACCAGGGGUGACUGGUGUUCCCAAUACCAUAACAUUGGGUUCUUGGCCCAUCUGACAAUGACAAAAUGCAAUCUGGCAACAUUCAUUCUCUUCAGACUCUCUACACACGGAUAUGUCCAUUGUGAUACUGUAUGAAGAACUGGGAUUCAUCUGAAAAGACCACGUUGUUGGCACUCCUGUGUCCAGCGGGGUCACACGCACCACUGUUCACACACACCUCUCUCUGCUGCUGAGUCGAGAACACAAUAAACAAAGGAACUGUUAUGCUUCCUACCCACUGACUUGAGCUAAAUUGUCAGAUGCUACAAUUUAUGGGAUAAGUUACUACACAUGUUGUUAACUGAGUUAGUGAUAUCGAGAUGCUUUUAAUCAUUGGAACAAUUAAUGAAAUUUUAGCUGAUAACUUGCACUGGACAAAACUUGUUACUAUUCCUGUCAAGUAAAUAGAGCUGUUUAUUCUUAAAAAUAUCAUUUUAAUGUUACAGUAUUCUUUACUGUACAAUUUUUUAAGUCUGUAGUCUAAAUUUUUUACAUAUUAUCUGCACACAAAUGUAAAUAAAGAAUGGACCAGAAGGCAGAGGAGGAUUUAACACAUAUAUAUCGUGUUUGCUAUGGCUGUUUCUUUUGUUACAGGUGCAUAUCAUAACUGAUGCUUUGGAGACUGCAUGGUGAAUUACACCAAGGAAGAAUGACUGAAAAUAGUGGAAUUUUAUUUUCAAAAUAACAGGUCUAUUACUCUAAUGCAAAGAGCUUAUCAUAACCAUUUCCUAGUAAGACAUGGACCUCAGCAAUGAUGAUUUGGAAACUAAUGGCACACUUAGAGGAAAAUGGUUCUGUGAUGAACCUUCCGCUUACUGGUAGACCAUGUUCAUCUCGCAGCAAAGAGAACAUUGUAGGAGUUAGGGCCAGUGUUGAAGAAGAAUGGGAAACAUCAACAUGAAGAUGUUCUAGGGAAUUAGGGAACCCGAACAUCCUUAAGGAGAAUUUUAAAACAUAAUUUAAAUAUGUAUCUACACAAAAUACAGUUAGUGCAGGAACUGAGACCCAUGGGCCAUGAAGUGUGCCGAAAUUUUGUAAUUCACAUCCAAGAAUUAGCCAGAGAAAACAAUGAAUUUAUCCUCCAAGUUAUCAUGUCAGAUGAGACUCAUUUCCAUCUGAAUUAUUACGUCAAUAAGCAGAACUGUUGGUUCUGUGUAUGACAAAUUUAAGGAUAAAUCAUGAGCCCCAGGUGCACCCUAUCAAGUGCACAGUUUGGUGUGGGGUGACCUCGCAGGAAGAUAUUGGGCCUUAUUUCUUUGAAACUGAUAACGGUGACAAUUUGUCAAUUACUAGUGAGAGCCCAAGAUAUGACUGAUAAUUUUUUAUAUCCUGCAGUAGAAAAUCAUCCCAAAAUGUGGUUUCAGUGGGAUGGGGCAACCUCCCAUACUCCCAGAACCACAGUGAAACCUCAGAGGCAACUGUUCAGUUAGCGGAGAAUUUCAAUAAAUUCUCAUGUUAAUUGGUGGCCAUGUUCCCCUGUCCUUACAGCCUCUGAUUACUACUUGUGUGGAUACCUUAAGGAAUUUGUGGACAUGAACAAAUUGUGUACACUUCAGCAGCAUAAGGACAAUAUCCAUGCAAACACUUGUGUAUUAACCAGAAUGAGAUUUUCACUCUGCAGCGGAGUGUGCACUGAUAUGAAACUUCCUGGCAGAUUAAAACUGUGUGCCCGACCGAGACGUGAACUCAGGACUUUUGCCUUUCGCAGGCAAGUGCUCUACCAUCUGAGCUACUGAAGCAUGACUCACGCCUGGUCCUCACAGCUUUACUUCUGCCAGUAUCUCGUCUCCUACCUUCCAAACUUUACAGAAGCUCUCCUGCGAACCUUGCAGAACUAGCACUCCUGAAAGAAAGGAUACUGCGGAGACAUGGCUUAGCCACAGCCUGGGGAAUGUUUCCAGAAUGAGAUUUUCACUCUGCAGCAGAGUGUGCGCUGAUAUGAAACUUCUUGGCAGAUUAAAACUGUGUGCCCCACCGAGACUCGAUCUUGGGACCUUUGCCUUUUGCGGGCAAGUGCUCUAACAGAUUUUUCAAAGCAUCAUGUAAUUUUCAAAAUAACAGUUUGUUAUUACAAUGGUCUACGAGUUGUCGGAUGUCACCCAAAAUUGGCAGUCCACAGUGUGAAAGCAAAUGAGUACCUAAAAUCCAUGUUGAACGCAUUGUUGACUCAAACCACAGUUACACACAUCUUAUGAGUGAAAAUAUGUGCACCAGGAACUUCAAAGUUAAAGAACUUAAAUGUGUAAAAACUUUCGCAUGAUUACAGUACCUCUAAUGAAUUAACAUUGUGACCCAAUUGUGUUGUAAUUAACAAGUACUGAGAAAGGUCUUUGUCAUUGAAGUGAGCAAUUAUUGAACAUGUUGAUGUUAAUUAUGGAAUGAUUUAAAUGAUCUGGUGCAGUGUGACUGCUUCCAAUGAAUUAUUAAAGAACUGUGCUAAAUGUGAACCACUCAUUUUGUGCCACAGUUGAAAACUUGGCCACUAUGAUUGUUCAUGCUGGCCUGAAACAGCCAAAUUACUGUUCAAAGUGUAAAAACUUUUCAUCAUAAUUGAUAAUUGACCUGCGAAUAAAAAUGUAUGUGUUCAUGUCAUCCCUAAAA